This 431-nucleotide ribosomal RNA is filed under the name uncultured bacterium. RNAcentral describes it as "partial 16S ribosomal RNA". It matches the Rfam family "Bacterial small subunit ribosomal RNA", at positions 29 to 507 of the family's 1533-position model. The record is from RNAcentral.
AACGAACGCUGGCGGCAGGCUUAACACAUGCAAGUCGAGCGCCCCGCAAGGGGAGCGGCAGACGGGUGAGUAACGCGUGGGAACGUACCUUUUGGUUCGGAACAACUCCGGGAAACUGGAGCUAAUACCGGAUAAGCCCUAACGGGGAAAGAUUUAUCGCCGAAAGAUCGGCCCGCGUCUGAUUAGCUAGUUGGUGAGGUAACGGCUCACCAAGGCGACGAUCAGUAGCUGGUCUGAGAGGAUGAUAAGCCACGCUGGGACUGAGACACGGCCCAGACUCCUACGGGAGGCAGCAGUGGGGGAUAUUGGAAAAUGGGCGCAAGCCUGAUCCAGCCAUGCCGCGUGAGUGAUGAAGGCCUUAGGAUUGUAAAGCUCUUUUGUCCGGGAAGAUAAUGACUGUACAGGAAGAAUAAGCUCCGGCUAACUUCGUG